CUGGCAGCUGUGGUGCCAUGUCAUCGUGACCCUUUCUGGCUUGUGAAAGUGUGAGUGCAUGCUGACCUUGACACAAUGUGGUUACCAGUGUCUGACCCUUGCAGGGAUAGGGGAGGUGGACGCUUGCUUGAAGGAGCGAUUGUUGAUAGCCUGUUUUCCUGCUUGCUUUUGUUGUUGCGUCUCUAGCAGUUCUCUGGCUGUUGGAAGAUACUGCUGAACAUCCUUAGUGCUGGUAGCUCAAGAGAAUCCUUAUGCUGAGCUUGUUAUAUAUGCUUUGCUGGCUUUAUCGAAGAAUCAUAGAGUCGUAGAAUGGUUUGGGUUGGAAGGGAUCUUAAAGCUCAUCGAGUUCUAACCCCCUACAAAUGUACAGUUCCUACUAAAUUAAUGGUCAUCAGUUUUCGUGAGCCCAUCAAUAUCUGUCCAAGUGAUAUAUUGGAAUCAUUCCUGGUCUUCUGCUUUUUUUCUGAAGCUAUUACUGGGAAAGGGGACAAUGUAACAUCCUGGCAGCUAGCUGCUCCAGCUGUGUACGUACUCAGUACGGUAUGCUGGUUUACUCUGGUAUCCAUGGCUCUUGUGGGGCUUGCUGCAGCCCUUGGUGCAGGUUUGAGUUGUCAGAGGACAGACAAGGAGAUUACUAAGGGACCAGAGCAUCUUUAUAUGAGAAGCUGAGAGAGGAGGGACUGUUCAGCCUGGAGAAGAGAAGGCUCAAAGGGGCCUAUCCAGGUGUAUAAAUACCUGAUGGGGAGGAAUGAAGAGGGAACUGACCCUGCUUAAGCAGGGUAGUGGACUCUCUGAUCUUCAGAGAUCCUUUCCAACCUCCACAACUCUGGGAUUCCGGCAAGGUUGGUUUGGGUCUCUGCCUUUUCCCCAUGGAAAGUGUUGCAUUUACCUUGGGGUGUUUUUUAGCUUGCUGGCAAGGGCGCUUGCCUAGAGACCAAGUUUAUUCAUGUCACUGUUUCACAGGCUUCGCAGGUUGUAAAAUCUCUGCUCAUACAUCAUGGGGAUGUAACUCACCCCCUCAGCUCUUCAGUGAUAAAAAUACUCAUCCAGGCUGGGAAGCCAGGAGCCAUCAUCACCUCUCUUCCUCCACUGCAGUGAAUAUCACAACAAACUCUUCUGGAGAAGAGCCUGAAGUACCUAUAGCUGUUCUGGCUGCCUUGGGCUACCAAAAGCUCCCCAAAGAGGCUGUUUUGCAGGAGGGAAUGUGAGGAGCGCUUCUGUAGAGGUGCUGUCCAGGCGCUGUGCUUUAGAUUGGAGCUCUGUCAGGAGGGAAGGGAGAGUUAGGAUUUUUAUGUGCUGCAUAUCUGGCAUGGUCAUGAGCAGACCUGGGUGUACAGAAAUGAGACUGACAUGUACCUCAAAUCAAAACCUAAGUCACUUUACAGCUGCGUGAGGCACUGGUACUUCAGGUACUGCUGCUGUAAAGACUGGUUGAUAAAGUGGGUAUUGAAGCUGACACAAUGGAGAAUUGUCAGGACUCAGACAGUUCCCCUGAGGCCUCUGCCACUGUACAAAGCUGUCUUUUGGCCGUUGCACAUUAAGGUCGUUCUUCACAUACUGUUGUUGCCAUGGGACAUGGUGUGAUUUAAUCUAACAAUUUGUGGCCUGUCUGGCCCUUGGAGAAGAAAAAAACCUCAUGUAGCUCACUCUUGAGAUGAUACAGGGAAACAGCUUAAACUUAGUGCUGGUUUCAUCCCUCAUGCUGCAGAAGAGGUCAUGAACCACUGAGCCUUGUUUCCAAGGCUGCUGUUACGGCCUCCUGAGGCUGAGCAGCACUGGGUAUGUUCUGCAGCCAUAUCCUGCAGCCAUGCAUCUCCCCAGCAGCAGCACCUGGCCCUCUGCAUCCUCAGAAUGUGAGAGCUGUAAGCCUGGGCCAUAUUGUUCUGUCCCUCUUGUUGGGGUCAUGCUUGGCAAGGGUAGGUAACAUCUAGGCUGGAAAGAGGAAGUUAUUACUGUUAAGGCAGCAAUGACUUUGGUAGAAAUAGAUGAUGGAGGAUGUAAUCUUUUCAAUAUGACAGUAAAUAGGGGCACAUCUAUAAAGGCUUGUUGGAGGAAAGUGGAGUCAGAACAGCGCUGAACAAGAACAGGUAUAUUCCGCUCCAGACUGUGUAGGAUUAGUUAGCCAUGGUGAGGGUCUGAGUUGCAGCUUGUGGUUUAUACAUGAAGACAGUGCUGUUGGCCAUAUGACUUCCAUGAAUUACAGCCCUGUAGAAGAGGGAGACUGGAGGUAAUAAUGGCAGUUGGUUGUUCUUUACCCCUUCUCCCAGCACAGAUGGAGUCCAACGUGUGCAAGCUUGCACCUCCUCAGUCACCUUAGCUGCCUCCACACUGUUGGGUGUAAAAGGUCUUGAAGCCUAUGUUUUUUCCUCCAGGUGGAGGAGCAGUGAGCCAGAGAGGCUAGGUGACUUGCUGAGGUGGCACACACAGAUGCAUGACUAUGGGUUUAGGUGUUUUGAUAGCUGGGGUUUGGGCUUGCCCAGGCUACCAAUAGCAAAGUCUCCAAAGAAACAACACCUCUUGCAUCUUGCAGGGGCUAAUAAUUGACUUGGCCAUCAGAAAUAAACAACCUGACCUUUACCUA
This is a long non-coding RNA of Pezoporus occidentalis (night parrot), 2581 nucleotides long. RefSeq lists it as uncharacterized. Lineage: Eukaryota; Metazoa; Chordata; Aves; Psittaciformes; Psittacidae. The record is from RefSeq and is a predicted model, not a curated record. The transcript has 2 exons.